RNAcentral lists this ribosomal RNA (253 nucleotides) under uncultured bacterium. RNAcentral's name for it is "partial 16S ribosomal RNA". It matches the Rfam family "Bacterial small subunit ribosomal RNA", at positions 524 to 776 of the family's 1533-position model. The record is from RNAcentral.
UGCGUAGGUGGCAAGCGUUAUCCGGAUUUAUUGGGCGUAAAGGGAACGCAGGCGGUCUUUUAAGUCUGAUGUGAAAGCCUUCGGCUCAACCGGAGUAGUGCAUUGGAAACUGGGAGACUUGAGUGCAGAAGAGGAGAGUGGAACUCCAUGUGUAGCGGUGAAAUGCGUAGAUAUAUGGAAGAACACCAGUGGCGAAAGCGGCUCUCUGGUCUGUAACUGACGCUGAGGUUCGAAAGCGUGGGUAGCAAACAGG